AGAGUUUGAUCCUGGCUCAGAACGAACGCUGGCGGCGUGCCUAACACAUGCAAGUCGAGCGAGAAAGUCCGCAAGGAUGAGUAAAGCGGCGCACGGGUGCGUAACACGUGGGUAAUCUUCCUUGGAGCCCGGAAUAACUCCCCGAAAGGGGUGCUAAUGCCGGAUAAGCCCACGGGAACCUUGGUUCCUGAGGGAAAAGGUGGCCUCUGCACGCAAGCUAUCACUCCUAGAUGAGCCCGCGGCCCAUCAGCUAGUUGGCGGGGUAAUGGCCCACCAAGGCUACGACGGGUAGCUGGUCUGAGAGGACGAUCAGCCACACUGGAACUGAGACACGGUCCAGACUCCUACGGGAGGCAGCAGUGGGGAAUCUUGCGCAAUGGGCGAAAGCCUGACGCAGCAACGCCGCGUGUGUGAUGAAGGUCUUCGGAUCGUAAAGCACUGUCGGGAGGGACGAAUAAGGGCGGAGCUAACAUCUCCGUUCGAUGACGGUACCUCCAAAGGAAGCACCGGCUAACUCUGUGCCAGCAGCCGCGGUAAUACAGAGGGUGCUAGCGUUGUUCGGAAUUAUUGGGCGUAAAGCGCGUGUAGGCGGCCAUGCAAGUCGGGUGUGAAAGCCCUCAGCUUAACUGAGGAAGUGCGCCCGAAACUACUUGGCUUGAGUGCCGGAGAGGGUGGCGGAAUUCCCGGUGUAGAGGUGAAAUUCGUAGAUAUUGGGAAGAACACCGGUGGCGAAGGCGGCUCUCUGGACCGAUACUGACGCUGAGGCGCGAAAGCGUGGGGAGCAAACAGGAUUAGAUACCCUGGUAGUCCACGCUGUAAACGAUGUGUGCUAGACGUUGGGGAGCCUAGCUCUUCGGUGUCGCAGCUAACGCGGUAAGCACACCGCCUGGGGAGUACGGCCGCAAGGUAAAAACUCAAAGGAAUUGAUGG
RNAcentral lists this ribosomal RNA (930 nucleotides) under uncultured bacterium. RNAcentral's name for it is "bacterial SSU rRNA". It matches the Rfam family "Bacterial small subunit ribosomal RNA", at positions 8 to 916 of the family's 1533-position model. The record is from RNAcentral.